Molecule: long non-coding RNA, 749 nt
Organism: Strongylocentrotus purpuratus (purple sea urchin)
Lineage: Eukaryota; Metazoa; Echinodermata; Echinoidea; Camarodonta; Strongylocentrotidae
Exons: 6
Source: RefSeq, a predicted model, not a curated record
UUUAAAUGUAUUGUGCCCUAUAUUUAUCUGACUGUCCAUUUAUACUAAUUUAGACUUUAAUCAAUCCACUUUCUCUCGAUAGGUCAUGAAAUUGUACACAACUUUGUGAGAUAUGCAACUUUGCGUGAACAACAAGCACUCCCCCCUAAACACAGAAAAUUCAUGCAAAGGACCUGGAAAAUCUGCAGAAAUAAACCCUAGGACUACUCUGACCAACGGAGGUUGGUGGUUUGGCAGUUGAAGGCUUAAGAAACUUGCUGACCAUCCUGGGUACAACCCCAACAGUCAAUGCCUCUAGCUACGACAGGCACAUAGCCACUUUUAAAUCGAUAUCUCAAGAGACCAGCGAGGAACACAUGAAGAGGGCGGCGGUAUGCCUACAACAAAGGGCAAUGGACAAGGACCCGACCAUCAGGUCAUGAAAUUGUACACAACUUUGUGAGAUAUGCAACUUUGCGUGAACAACAAGCACUCCCCCCUAAACACAGAAAAUUCAUGCAAAGGACCUGGAAAAUCUGCAGAAAUAAACCCUAGGACUACUCUGACCAACGGAGGUUGGUGGUUUGGCAGUUGAAGGCUUAAGAAACUUGCUGACCAUCCUGGGUACAACCCCAACAGUCAAUGCCUCUAGCUUCGACAGGCACAUAGCCACUUUUAAAUCGAUAUCUCAAGAGACCAGCGAGGAACACAUGAAGAGGGCGGCGGUAUGCCUACAACAAAGGGCAAUGGACAAGGACCCGACCAUCAGG